AGUGACACCAAAAGUUGUUUAUUUGAAAAGAUUAACAAAAUUUACAAGCCAUUUUAAGUUAGAUUGGUCAAGGGAAAAAAGAGAAAGACUCAAACUACCUAAAACAGGAACAAAAGAAAUUAACAAAUGAAAAGGAUUAAGAGGGAAUACUAUGAACAACUAUCUGCUAACAAAAUAGAUAAAUGAAAUGGACAAAUUCCCAGAAAUACACAAAAAAACUACUGAAACCCAUAUAAGAAGAAAUGAAAAGUAUGACUUGGCCUAUAAGUAAAGAGAUCAAAUUAGUAAUUUAAAACUUUCCACAAAGAAGAAAAGGGAACCCUUCUACACUGUUGAUAAGAGGGAAAAUUGGUGUAGUCACUAAGGAAAACAGUAUGGAAAUUCCUUAAAAAACUAAAAAUAGAGUUGCCAUAUGAUUCUGCAAUCCCACUCCUGGGCAUAAAUCCAGCCAAAACUAUAAUUCAAAAAGAUACAUUCACGCCUAUGUUCAUUGCAGCACUAUUCACAACAGUCAAGUCAUGGAGACAACCCAAAUGUCCAUCGACAGAUGAAUGGAUAAAGAAGUUGUGGUAGAUAGAUAGAUAGAUAGACAGACAGACAGACAGAUGAAUAUAGAUACAGAUAUGGAUACAGCCAUUAAAAAAGAAUGAAAUAAUGCCUAGAAAUUACCACACUAAGAGAAAUAAGUCAGAAAGAGAAAGACAAAUACCAAUAUGAUAUCAUGUUUAAGUGGAACCUAAAAUAUGACACAAAUGAACUUAUCUGUGAGUCUUAAACAGAAACAGACUCACAGAUAUAGAGAAUAGACUUGUGAUUGCCAAGCAGGAGGGGAGUAGGAAGGGAAGGACUGGGAGUUUGGGAUUAGCAAGUACAUACUACUACUUGUAGAAUGGAUAAACAGAAGUUCCCACGUGGCUCAAUGCAGUGGCGUGGGUUGCUUCUGUGGCCCAAGUUCAAUCCCUGGGCUGGAAACUUCUUAUGCCACAAGAGCAACCAAAGGAAAAAAAAGAAAAGAAAGUAUAGCACAGAGAAUUAUAUUCAAUAUCCUGUGAUAAACCAUAAUGGAAAAUAAUAUACAUAUGUAUAACUGAAGCACUUUGCUGUACUGCAGAAAUUAACACAUUGUAAAGCAACUAUUAAAGCAACUAUACAUCAAUAAUUUAUUUUUUAUUUCCACAGAGAAAAGCCUUAGGUCCUGAUGGUUUCACUAGUGAAUUUUACCAAACAUUCAGAAAAGAACUAAUAUAAACUCUUUGAAAUUGUUCAGAAAACAGAAGAGGAGUAGACACUUCUCAAUCCAUCCUGAGGCUAGUAUUACCCUGAUACCAAAUUAGACAAAGAUAGUACAAGAAAAGAAACCAAAGAUCUAUAUUGCUUAUGAAUACAGAAGUAAAAAUUCUCAACAAAGACUAGCAAACCAUGGAGUUCCCGUCGUGGUGCAUCUUGUAAUUCCACCUUUCUAUGUGGCUAUUUCCUCUGUCUGAAAUGUCUACUGGGUCCCCAGCCCUUCUACCCAUUCCAAGUUAGUUAAUUCCCACUCCUUACCUGUCCCUAGCUUGAUGCUUUCCAGCCUGGACUCCAGGAGAGCUGUGGAUAUCCCUCUAGAGCACUUCUUACACUGCCAGCUGCUUCUCUAAUAAGAUGUGGGGCUGCUGGUGGGUACAUAGUAUCUCACUCAUGUCCAGAGCCCCAGUGUCAAUCAGAGUGCCUAGCACAUAAUGGUUACAGUUGGCUGCUGGCUAGGUUUCAAGGAGGAGGGUAGGAGAUGAUAAGCCUAGGACUGGAUUGUGGAGGGCACUCAGCCUUUUUUAACAGCAAAUCCUUUCAGGCCUGGCUAGAAAAGAAGAGCUUCCCUCUUUCGCCCCAGGAGGAUGAUCAGGCUCUUACCAUCUGAGGCCCAGCAAGGCUAGGGUUCCAAGCUUGCACUCCAGGACCCGGAAUAAGCCUCUCUGCAUGAGCAUGUGUCCAUUCAUUGGUCUCUCUUUUUCUUCUCCUUUCCCAGGACACUCUUCCAACUCUCCUAACCCAGAGUUCUCAACAGCAGCCCUACUGACAUUUUGAACUAGAUUAUUCUUUGUUGUGAGCAUCAUCUUAGACAUUGUAGGCUGUUCACAACAUCUCUGGCUCUACCAGCUAUAUGCAGCAGCAACACAGCUCACCCUCCCAGUCACAACAUCCAAAAUGUCUCAACAGCAAUGUCCCCUGGAGAGUAAAACCCCUAGUUGAGAACUACUGCCUUAACCAAACCCAUCCAUCCAUCCAUCCACCCAUUCAUUCAUAGGCAACAUUUAUAAAGCUACCAUCUUAGCCUUCCUCAAGACUUUCAGAGACUUAUGUUAUCAACGUGUUUCUCAUUACUUUACUAGACAGUAUUUCAUUAGUUUUUUGGUAUUGUAACCCCCUUUAUAUACAAUACUUAAAAACUCACAGUUAAGCUUUUCAUAGCAUCUUUCCACAUCCAUCUUCUGGAUAAAAAUUUCCUGGAACACAUCAUCUUCAUUUACUGCAAUAAUUCUUAAAUAGAGUGGUUUACUGCAGAUUAUAUAGAAAGUGGUUUACUGCAGAUUAUACAGAAAGUUAACGUACAUUUAAAGAAAAUGACUAUAACAUGGAACACUUUGUUUCCUAAGAUGGUAUGUGCAAAUAGACACACACAACCCUCACCCCAAGAAAAAUAAGCAAUGGAGGAGGGGUUACACACAGACUCAGGAGAGAGUUUCCUAGGAUAUGAAUUCUGCUUGAAGGUUUAGGGAGUUAUUAAGAAUAAACCAGGAGUUCCUGCUGUGGUUUAGUGGGUUAAGGAUCUGGCAUUGCUGAGGCUGUGGCGUAGGUCACAGAUGCAGCUUGGAUUCAAUCCCCAGCCCAGGAACUUCCAUAUGCUGUGGGUGCAGCCAGAUAAAAAUAAAUAAAACAAAAGUUUUUAUGUCAAAAGCAACAUGAACAGGAGUUCCUGUCGUGGCUCAGUGGUUAACAAAUCCAACUAGGAACCAUGAGGUUGUGGGUUCAAUCCCUGGCCUUGCUCAGUGGGUUAAGGAUCCGGUGUUGCCGUGAGCUGUGGUGUAGGUCGCAGACGUGGCUUAGAUCUGGCAUUGGUGCGGCUCUGGCAUAGGCCGGAAGCUGUAGCUCCAAUUAGACCCCUAGCCUGGGAACCUCCAUAUGCCAUGGAUGCAGCCCUAGAAAAAAACCAAAAAAAAAAAAAAAAAGCAGCAUGAAUAAUUUGGCGUGAAUUCUUUGCAUGAACUGUAAUAUAAGUCUUUGGCAAAAUUGUUUUGCAAUGAAUCACAUAUCAAGCCACAGUCCCAGGCAGACCUGUGCUUCAGCAGAAACAUCGAGAAACCCUAGAUUAGUGGAGUACAGCAUCUUCAUUGAAUUAAACCUGCCAAGAACUUCAAGAAAACAUAUGCUCCAAACUCCAGCUUGGAGGCAGAUGUGGUUAUUUUUAAACCCAUCUUUUGGAAGAGGUAACUGCCUUGCCUAGAACUGGUAAUCUGUUCGGCAGUUCUCAUCAUGGAAACAGUAAGGAGAACAAGUGGUCAGGAAAACUGUAAUUUCUAAAUUCCCUUUGGAGGGUCUUUCCAGGUCUGAGUCAGUCUGUAACCUGAAUUUAGUUAUGUUAGGACAAGAAUGUCAUGUAUACUUGCUUUCUCUUCUUGUGGUGUUUCCUGCCCUCCCUCGCUUACAUCAGUUUAGUUGUGUGAAAUUCCACAUCAUAGCUAAAGCAAGAGCGAAUUAACAGUUGUGAGGUGAAACAGAUUGAAUUCUUAGGUUUGCUUUGUUACUGUCUCUUCUCUUCCCACCAGCAGUAUUUUCUGACAAAACUCUCCUUGCUUUUCUCCUUCCCCAAGCCCCACUAUCGGCAUAGGGUUUUGUUUUUUGUUUUGUUUUAGCACUGCCACAAGUUACAGAUUCAGGGCAAAAUACUGAACUCUCUUGGUCUUUUCUUUAGAGUACUGAAGUAAAUCUCAAAACCAUUCACACACCAAAUUUCCAUACAUCUGUAUAGUGUAGAAUUUUACUGACAGAAUCACUAUAACUAAUCACUGAUAACUAUCCUAUUAUUUAAAUAUAUGUUUUAAUACUUUAAAAAUCGUGUCUCACCUCUAGAUCCAAUGGGUUAUUAAAAGAUGAAAUGCAGCAGCAAUUUCUAAUAUUAAAAAAAAAAUAUUUAGGGAAAAAUGUCAUCAGCCCACUUCCUUGUAAACAGACCCGCUCUUAGCAACAAGAGUAGCAAUAAACAAAGGAGCAAUAAUUGUUUUUUUCUCUAGUUAGUGUUGCUAGUACACAAAGUAAAUCAGCAUAGCCUGUGGCCCCAGGGAGUACAGGUAGCAACCUACCAGCCAGGUUCUCUAAUGCUUUACUAAGCCAAGUGAUCCAAUGCUGUCUUCACCCAUUCCAGAUAAUUCCCAGAUAGCUAAGUACUUGGUCUGAGAAGCUUAUAAUCACAAAGCCAUAAACUUGAACUAAACAGUUAUGACCCUAAAUAGGAAGGAGGUUGGGUAGAGGGAGUAAAGUCCAAAAUUAGAGGAAAGGAAGAUGUACCAUAACAAAAUGAUUAGAGUGGCUAUCAAGUGAGAAAUAGGAUCUAAAGAUAGCAGUGUAACCCAACUUACACCAAAGUGCUUCCUGAGACUUUAUCAAUGUUCUCAUUCCUCCCUCAUCCUCCCUGGCCUCACACAACCUUCUCCCCAAUCACAGUGGAGGCUCAUUAAGAAAUGAGGCCAAUUUUACAUUGGACUUUUUCAGUUAUGUGAAAGUAAAUGCUUUACUUUUGGGAGGCUUAAGUUCAAACACGGGUUACCCUAGUGAUUUAAAAAUUAAUUAUAUUAUGGUUACUAUAAUAAAACUAGAAGUAUGUGUUUCCCCUACUCAGAACGGUUAAGAAUUUUUAAAAAGUGUUCUAUGUGAAAAUCGACAUUAGGUGUCACUGUACAACAUAAGAUUAACGCAGGCAUGUCAUCUGCUUUGUGCUGAGAAAAAUCUAACAAUCCAAAUCAAUCAUUUUAUAUUCAAAGAUUUAAGUUGUUUUUAGAAUAUCCAUGCAAAAAGUUUUAAAAUUACCCAACAAAAGAUAUGUUGUACUGAUAAAACCAAUUAAUUAGGACAAUUAAGUCCUCAAUUUGUUUUCUUAGAAACACAAUCUCCUCUCAUUGGUUUCUUCUUUUGGGUUCUCAUUUUACUGACUUUCCUGUUCUUAUUAAGUCAUUCCAUAAAUGUGAAGUAAAUGUUCAAGAUUUUCUUGUGUUCCAUGAGCUACAUUUCCUUCCAGGUUGUCUUGAGUCUUUUACACUCUGACCUGUGUGUGACACAGGGCUCUUCGUAGUGUACCACAAAAUGGCAGCAUCUGCAUUAUCUGAAAGCUUGACUAAAGUGCGAAUUACUGAGGCCCCUCUUAGACCAACUGAAUCAAAACCUCUAGGGAAUCCAGGAAUUUGUCCCAAUGAUUCUUAGGCAUAUUUACAUUUUAAAAUCACUGCUCUUACACAUUUUGCCUAGUUAUCACAUUGUUUCUUUUUAUUUAACUCAUGUUUACCUUACAUAGGCAACAGAAGACAUUCUACAAGUCUUGAUAGAGGAUGGGUGAUGUAACCCUCUUCCCACCAUAUCUUCAACCAAUUUCCAUUUUUCUUCAAGACAGAGUCCAGAUCUGGGUGUUACUUCUUGCUAGUCUAAAGCCUAGGGAAAAGGCACUAAGGACUGUAAAGAAAAUGGCUUAGCUAGACUUAAAAAAACAAAACAAAACUGAACUAUGCUUUCCCUUCUGAUUGUUAAACUGUCUAUAUUGGUUAAGAGAGAGGCUCUUUAUUUCUCUUCAGAUUUUGGGAUGUUAGUAUGACUUUUUCAGGGAUUCUGGAGGUUGUGGGUAAAGAAGGUCAAUAAUAUAAACUGGCUCCUCUUUGCUCUGCCCCAGCACAGAACACAUCACAGAGCUAUUAAUAGUUCAGCAACACUGAGGCACAACAACUGGACCACAAGGCUCAAGAAGCAGUUUAAGGUCCACGAGUAGUGUAGUAAGACUUGAGUGCUAGCUGGGAGGAAGCAGGGGUGGAGUGAGAUGGGUGAAUAUUAGCACUGGUUGAAUUAAGAAGCCAUUAAAAAUCAUUACUUGACAAUUUUUACAACAUAAAAUUUUCUAAAUACAAACUAUCAUAUAAAGU
Molecule: long non-coding RNA, 6155 nt
Filed under: Sus scrofa (pig)
Lineage: Eukaryota; Metazoa; Chordata; Mammalia; Artiodactyla; Suidae
Description: lncRNA (ENSSSCG00035014350.1)
Source: RNAcentral